GGGGCUGGAAUGUAGCUCAGUGGUAGAACACUUGCCUAGCAUGUACAAGGUCCUGAGUUUGAGCUGAGUCCGGGAAGAAAGAAUUUGA
RNAcentral lists this microRNA precursor (88 nucleotides) under Microtus ochrogaster (prairie vole). Its description in RNAcentral is "miRNA (ENSMOCG00000007058.1)". The record is from RNAcentral. Lineage: Eukaryota; Metazoa; Chordata; Mammalia; Rodentia; Cricetidae.